This 253-nucleotide ribosomal RNA is filed under the name uncultured bacterium. Its description in RNAcentral is "partial 16S ribosomal RNA". It matches the Rfam family "Bacterial small subunit ribosomal RNA", at positions 524 to 776 of the family's 1533-position model. The record is from RNAcentral.
CACGUAGGGUGCGAGCGUUGUCCGGAUUUAUUGGGCGUAAAGAGCGUGUAGGCGGCCAGGUAGGUCUGGUGUGAAAACUCGAGGCUUAACCUCGAGAUGUCAUCGGAAACCAUCUGGCUAGAGUCCGGAAGAGGAGAGUGGAAUUCCUGGUGUAGCGGUGAAAUGCGCAGAUAUCAGGAAGAACACCAAUGGCGAAAGCAGCUCUCUGGGACGGUACUGACACUGAGAGACGAAAGCUAGGGGAGCAAAUGGG